AGGGCCACACCCAUGGCAUAUGGAGGUUCCCUGGCUAGGGGUCCAAUCAGAGCUAUAGCCACUGGCCUAUGCCACAGCCACAGCAACAUCAGAUCUGAACUGUGUCUGUGACCCACACCAUAGCUCACGGCAAUGCCAGAUCCAUAACCCACUGAGCGAGGCCAGGGAUCAGACCCGCAACCUCAUGGUUCCUAGUCAGAUUCAUUUCCACUGCGCCAUGACGAGAACUCCUUAUUUGCAUUUUUAACUUAAUAUAAUGAUGACUAUUUUUUCACAUCUGUUAGACAAUUGUAUCCUUGUUUUAUAAAAAUUUUAGUUAAUUCUUUUGCUCAUUAUUCUCUUAGGUUGCCUUUUAAAGUAAAUAGUUCUUAUAUAAAGAAUACUAUUUUUUGGUAAAUAUGUUAUAGUUUGCCAUUUGUCUUUGACGAUACUUAUGAUAUUUUAUGAAGCACAUAAGUUUCAUAUUUAUCUGAAAUUUAUCAAUCAUUUUAAUUAUGGUUUCUGUCUUUGCUGUUACAUAAUAAAAACACUGUAUCACUCUGAGUACAGGUAGCAUUCAUUUUUCUAAUAAUGUCUGGGCAUUCAAUGUUUGCCUUUUUUUCAAAAUAUGAAUGGCUUAUUUUCUGAUAAUAAAAUUAUAUCCACAAUGAAAAGAUAAAAUAUAGAUAACUACAUAAAUAAAAAUAAAGGUGUCUCUAAUCUAAUCACCCAAAAUAAACUAUUGCUCUGAAGAGGGUAUCCCUAGUGUGUUCAUUUCAGUAUCAAUCAAAACAUGUACAUGACGAAAGAACCUACCAAAACCUGGGAAAGAACUACCUGAGAAGAUUAGAGGAAUCCUUCUCAGUCUCCUAAAAGGCAUGGAAAAGUACCUGUUUCUAACAGCCAGAUCUGAAAAUUUCAUGGUUCAUGGGCAUUUGAUGGAGAACACAAAAGGAUUCUCCUUAGUAGUGGAGUAUAAAUUAUAAGAGACUGAAUUACUAUAAGGUAGUACCUAACAAAUUUUAAAAGCAAGAUCCAGACCCGAAAAGAUCAAGAUUGUUUCCAAGCAAUAUAAAUGUAUCCUAAAACAAGACUUAAGAAUAUUUGAAGGAAUACAAAACUAUCUAGCACUCAACAAGGUAAAAUCCACAAUGGUGCUUGGCAAUUUUCUAAGUGCCAAUCAAAAUUUACCAGUCAAGGAGUUCCUGUCGUGGCUCAGUGGUUAACAAAUCCAACUGGGGGCCAUGAGGUUGCGGGUUCAAUCCCUGGCUUUGCUCAGUGGGUUAAGGAUCUGGCAUUGCCACGAGCUGUAUUGUAGGUCACAGACACAGCUCAGAUCCCACAUUGCUGUGGCUGUGGCAUAGGCUAGCGGCUAUAGCUCUGAUUAGACCCCUAGACUGGGAAUCUCCAUAUGCCAGAUGGGAGCGGCCCUAGAAAAGGCAAAAAAGAUAAAUAAAAAAAAAUUACCAAUAAUAAAAUCAGAAGAUCAAUCGGUUAUUAUAACUUUAUACUAUAGGCUCAAAAAGUCAUGUAGAGACAUAGAAGAAACAAAAAUAACUUAAAUCAAACUUCUGUAUAUAGAAACUAUCACAUCUGAAAUGAAAAAUACACUGAGGGAAAAAAUAGCAGGUAGAUAUUGCAGAAGGAGGGAUUAGUAAGUUUGAAAAUGUUGCAUUAGAAGAUAUACAAAAUGAAAAUAGAAUCAAAAAUAUUUUUUAAAAAAGAGAAUCAGUGACCAUUCGAGUAUUCUAAUUACAAGUGUUGGACAACAGGAUUUUGGCCAACAAAGUGGCAAUAGAAAAAACAUUUGAAGAAAUAAUGGUAGGAAGUUUUACAGAUUUGUUGAAAAUAAUAAAUGCACAAAUGCCAGUUCAAUAAAACCAAAGCACAAGGCACAUGAUGAAAACUAUACUGGGGCACAGUGUAAUUAAGUAGUCCACAAUCUGUGAUGAAAGGAAACAUCUUAAAUGAAGCUAGAAAAAAAAAAAGAUCUUUAUGUACUGAAAAAAAAUUAAAUAAGAAAGGCAGCAGAUAGCAUGUCAUAAACAAUGAAAAGGAAAGAGUGGAACAAUCUCUUUGAAUUAUUGGAAGAAAAAGUAACAACUUAAAUUUCCAUACCUCAGCAAAAAUAUCCUUCAAAAAUGAAGAUGAAAUAAAGACUUUUUCAGAUAUGCAAAAGCUGAAGGAAUUCAUUAUAGUAAACACACUCAACAAGAAACUUUAAAAGGAAAUCUAUCAAGUGGAAGGGACAUAAUCUCAGAUAAAAUACGAAUAUAGACAAAGGCAUGAAGAGCAUGAAAUGGGACUACAGCAGUAAAUACAUGUGUCUUUAAAAAAUAAUUGACCCUUUAAAUGAAAGAAACAACAAUGUAGAGUUUAUAAAAUACAAAAAAGUCAAAUAUGUGACAAUAAAAAAAAGACUUGGGAAAGUUCCAUGGUAGCCUAGAAAGUUAAGGAGCCAAUGUUGUCACUGCUGUGGUGCAGGUUCAAUCCCUGGCCCAGGAUGUUCUGCAUCAUGAAGUCUCAGCCAAAAAAAAAAAAAAAAAGAAAGAAAAAAAAUGGGAAAAGACAUGAAAGUAUACUAUUGCAAGGUUUGUGAACUGUUGAACUAUAUACAUGAAGUUGUAUAACAUCGUAAGACCACAGACUCAAAAUUAAUAAUCACUUUACAUGUAAAGCAUCAAAACAGUCAACUAAAUAUCAAAGAUUAUCUUACUGAACAAAAAUCCAAUUAUAGAAAUACCAUACGGGAGUUUCCUGGUGGUUCAGCAGGUUAAGGAUCCAGUGUUAUUACUGCUAUGACUAUAGUGUGGGUUCAAUCCCAGACCCUGGUAUUUUGCAUGCCAUGAGUGCAGCCAAUUUUACAUAUAUCAUAUGAUCCAGCAAUGCCAUGUCUGGGUAUAUAUCCAAUAGGGAUAAGACUGCUAUCUCAAUGAGAUCUAAUGAGCCAUAUUCAUUGCAGCAUUAUUUAUAAUAGCCAAGUCAAGGAAACAACAAUGAACCUAAGGUUCAUUGACAGAUGAAUGGAAAAGGAAAAUACAUGUCUGUGUAUACAUAUAAUAUUAUUCAGCUUUUAAAAAUGGGGAAUACUACCAUUUGCAACAACAUGGAUGGACCCUGAGGGCAUUAUGCUAAGUGAAAUAAGUCAGAUAGAGAAAUACAAAAGCAUGAUCUCUCUUAUAUACAGAAUCUCAAAACAUCUGAACUCAUAGAAACAGAGAAUGGAUUGCCUGAGAUAGGAGUUAGGGCAAUGGGGAAAUGGGUAAAGGUGCCCAAGAGAUACAAACUUCCCAGCUAUAAGGUAAGUAUGUUCUAGAGAUACACUGUACAGCAUUUUGACUAGAAUUAACAAUAUUUUAUUAUAUAUUUAAAAGUUGCUGUGAGAGUAGAUUUUAAAAGUUAUCACUGUAAGAAAAAGUGUGUAACUAUGUGAGAUGAUGAAUAUUAACAAAAUUUAUUGUGGUAACCAUUUCACAAUAUAUACAUGUAUCAAGUCAUUAUAUUGCGCAUUAUAAAAUAAUACAAUGUUAUAUGUCAAUUGUAUCUCAAUAAAAGAGAAGGAGGUAACAAAACCCAAUUACACACUGCCUACAAGGAACACACAUCAAAAAUAAAGACACAUGCAGAAAAGGUGGCCAAAAUGGAGGAGUAGUAAGUCCUUGAACCCACCUCUUCCCACAGACAUACCAAAAUUACUAAUACUUACAGAGCAACUAUCUAUGAUAAUGACCUGAAGACUAGCAGAAACAAAUUUCCACAACUAAAGACAUAAAGAGGGAACUAUAAUGAGACAGGUAAGAGGCACAGAAAUACAGUAUAGUCAGAACACACAUCCCUGGGCCAGUUACCCAAAAUGGGGAGAAUAUCACAACUGCAGAGAUCUUCCCCAAGGGGUAAGGAGUCCAAGCCUCACACUGGGCUCCCCAGCUUGGGAGUCUUGCCCAAGGAAUACAAACCCCCAGAAUGUCUGGCUUUGAAAACCAGCAGGACUUUUGCUUUGGGUAGCUGGAGGGCUAUAGGAAAGAGAUACUCCACUCUUAAAGGACAUGCGCAAAACCUCAUCUUCUCCAAGUCUCAACAUAGAGGUAGUAGUUUAAAAAGAUCUUUGGCCAGGCCAUUUACUGAUCUUAGAAAGCCUCCCAGAGGGGUAGGAGACAACUUGGACUUCCUGUAGGAACGGAGAUGCUGGUAGCAGCCACCUUUCAGGAGCUUUUUCUACUGCAAUAACAAUGGCGCUGGUGAGCCCCAUUUUGGAACCCUCCCUCUAGCCAAUUAGGACCAGGGCAUACCUGCCUUGCAGCAGGCCAGUACCAGCCUCAAGCCCUGUCUCCAGACCAUUCAGACAAUGGUGAGACAACCCAGCCCUGCCCACUAGGGUAGUGACACCAAACACAAAGACCACAAUGGGACCCAACUGUCACUCACCAGCAGAUGAGCACUAGAGCUGAGGCCCCUCUGGGCCAUGCAGACAGCCUCAUAGGAACCUGGCCCUAUGUAGCAGCUAGUUAGCAGUGCCUGUGCACCUUUCUUGGACCAAAACAGCCAACUAUGUGGGAGGCCCACUCUAUGUUC
RNAcentral lists this long non-coding RNA (4551 nucleotides) under Sus scrofa (pig). RNAcentral's name for it is "lncRNA (ENSSSCG00000054960.1, ENSSSCG00105033168.1)". Lineage: Eukaryota; Metazoa; Chordata; Mammalia; Artiodactyla; Suidae. The record is from RNAcentral.